Canis lupus familiaris (dog) is the source of this 630-nucleotide long non-coding RNA. RefSeq lists it as uncharacterized. Lineage: Eukaryota; Metazoa; Chordata; Mammalia; Carnivora; Canidae. The transcript has 3 exons. The record is from RefSeq and is a predicted model, not a curated record.
CUCCGCAAUCGGAGCACCUGAGCCCCUGGUGGCACCAACCAUCCCCCUCCCCGGCCCCCCGCGGACAAAGCAAAGCAGGGGGACCCCUGGAUUUGGGAGCCAGGCCUGGUGUCACGAAACCCCGGGAGCCCGCAGGGAGGGCGCCGGGCGGGGAGGGGGACAGGGCCCUGCCCCUCCUCGAAGCAUCCCUUCCUUCUUGUGUCACAGCAGCCGGAGUAGCCCUGCGCACAUGUGAGGGCGCUUCCAGCUCUGGAAGUCCAGUGCAAGAGCACAGGUGCCCCGGAGCCCCUAGACCACCGGUGGAAACCCACAGACAUACCCGCAGUCCCUGACCCUUGGUGGGUCACUGGGACUCACAGGAAACCCCCCCUAAAGGAGAAUUCACCGCUUUGAGUUCAUCUACCCUGGAGAGUACAGGCUUGCAUGCAACUCUGCUGGUGUCGCACCCUGUGCUCUCCUGCCACCCCGGAUGCUGGCAGGGCAGGAGUGAGGGCAGACACACCCAGGGGCAGAAUCAGGACUACAGCCCCAGAGCUCAAGAGGGAAAAGGAACCAGAAGCCUGGCAUGCGUGUUUCUUCCCAUCCAAUCUGCUGCCCUUCCAGACUGCUCAGCAUAGCGCCUGGAACAUG